AAAAUAGUAAGAUAACAAAUAAUCUCCCUCUCUUCCAAAGAGGAAAUGGAUUUUUCCCUAUUUUA
Molecule: transfer RNA, 65 nt
Filed under: Columbicola columbae (slender pigeon louse)
Lineage: Eukaryota; Metazoa; Arthropoda; Insecta; Psocodea; Philopteridae
Description: tRNA-Gly
Source: RNAcentral